Molecule: long non-coding RNA, 249 nt
Filed under: Solanum tuberosum (potato)
Lineage: Eukaryota; Viridiplantae; Streptophyta; Magnoliopsida; Solanales; Solanaceae
Description: long non-coding RNA (STUB_LNC002657)
Source: RNAcentral
AAAGAGACCAGUUCCCAAAUCAAAAAAAGGAAAGCCAAAAUUUGAGCUUUGCCGACAUUCUACUAACUUCCGAUUCCUCCAUCGAUUUUCUUGCUUGUAGUCGCCGGAGAUCCGAAAUGAAAGGCCAGAUGAAGCUAAACUUACUUGCUGCUCUACUAACUUCCGAUUCCUCCAUCGGUUGUUGCUUGCUUGUAGUCGCCGGAGAUCCGAAAUGAAGGCCCAAAUGGAGCUAAACUUACUUGCUGCUCU